RNAcentral lists this ribosomal RNA (109 nucleotides) under Klebsiella aerogenes. The record is from RNAcentral. Lineage: Bacteria; Pseudomonadati; Pseudomonadota; Gammaproteobacteria; Enterobacterales; Enterobacteriaceae. RNAcentral also lists the same sequence under 4 other names.
GCGAUAGCGCGGUGGUCCCACCUGACCCCAUGCCGAACUCAGAAGUGAAACGCCGUAGCGCCGAUGGUAGUGUGGGGUCUCCCCAUGUGAGAGUAGGGAACUGCCAGGC